This 305-nucleotide ribosomal RNA is filed under the name uncultured bacterium. RNAcentral describes it as "bacterial SSU rRNA". It matches the Rfam family "Bacterial small subunit ribosomal RNA", at positions 333 to 654 of the family's 1533-position model. The record is from RNAcentral.
GUGUUCCUACGGGGCGCAGCAGUGGGGAAUAUUGCACAAUGGGGGAAACCCUGAUGCAGCGACGCCGCGUGAGUGAAGAAGUAUUUCGGUAUGUAAAGCUCUAUCAGCAGGGAAGAAAAAAGACGGUACCUGACUAAGAAGCCCCGGCUAACUACGUGCCAGCAGCCGCGGUAAUACGUAGGGGGCAAGCGUUAUCCGGAUUUACUGGGUGUAAAGGGAGCGUAGACGGCAGGGUAAGUCUGGAGUGAAAGCCCGGGGCCCAACCCCGGGACUGCUUUGGAAACUGCCAUGCUGGAGUGCUGGAG